GUCUAUUUGGAGAUAUAGAAAGUCUGGCCUGCUCACUGAUAAUUAUUAUUUAAGAGCCGCGGUAUUUUGACUGUGCAAAGGUAGCAUAAUCGUUAGUUUUUUAAUUGAAAUCUUGUAUGAAUGGUUUGACAAAAAAAAGUCUGUCUUUAUUAUUAUUUAUUGAAUUUAACUUUUAAGUGAAAAGGCUUAAAUAUGUUAAAAAGACGAUAAGACCCUAUAAAGCUUAAUAUUAAUUUUUGAUUUAAUAAAAUUUUUUAAGUGUAUAAAUAUUUGGUGAUUGGUUUUUAUUUUAUUGGGGCGAUAAUGGUAAAAUGGUUAUUAACUGUUAAUUGAUUUAGACAAUAAUAAGUGAAUAGAUAAUUAUGAUAAUUGAUCCUAUAUUAUAGAUUAAAAGUUUAAGUUACUUUAGGGAUAACAGCGUUAUUUUUUUUGAGAGUUCUUAUCGAGAAAAAAGUUUGCGACCUCGAUGUUGAAUUAAAAUAUCUAUAUAAUUGUAGUAGUUAUAUAAGAAGGUCUGUUCGACCUUUAAAUUUUU
Molecule: ribosomal RNA, 535 nt
Filed under: Sarmatium crassum
Lineage: Eukaryota; Metazoa; Arthropoda; Malacostraca; Decapoda; Sesarmidae
Description: partial 16S ribosomal RNA
Rfam family: Bacterial large subunit ribosomal RNA
Source: RNAcentral